This 742-nucleotide long non-coding RNA is filed under the name Setaria viridis. RNAcentral's name for it is "long non-coding RNA (SVIR_LNC006457)". The record is from RNAcentral. Lineage: Eukaryota; Viridiplantae; Streptophyta; Magnoliopsida; Poales; Poaceae.
AGGGAUUGAUUAAAUGGUUCUCUCUGCUCUUAUAAUCACAUGGGUUUGAACAAGAAACUCGGUCCGGUGCUAAGGGCUUCAGAUCUUGUUUAACCUCCACUGAAAUUUCUCAAAUUUGUUUCAAUAGGUCUUGUGUCAUAUGAAGUCUCGCAAUAAGUGGGUACAUACUUAUACUGGUAGCCGAUUCAGCAACCAUUAAUAAUGUACAAAAUGAACGUAACAGUAACAAGUACCAUAUGGCAUUAUUAACCUUCAAAAAAAUUGUGCAUCAAUUGUACAUGUGUGUGGUUCGCAUCGUGGUGAUGUGCACAUUUGAAGAAGUGCGCGUGAGUUAAUCUUUACUUCCGUCCUUACAGUAUGAUGGAGCAUCCAGAGUUACAUCCAUUAUCUGUGAAAUAAUCUUGCUUGGUAAAGAAGAGUAAGGUGUAAGGUGUCAUGUCUACCAUCCGUCAGAUGUGUUCAUAUAGCACAAAUAUGCAAUUUGAAUACACAACAAGGCUUAGUUGUCAGAGGAACAGAGACAGCCAGACUGACCAAAUCGAACUAAUCGCCAUGUUUAAUUUUUUGCAUUAGUAAAGGCAAAAUUAAGGAGGGACAUUAUUCGUGUUAGAAUGAAUCCUCGAACACAGGGCUGCUCUGAUAGAUAAGCCGCACUGAUCCAUGGUAAGUGCGAAAUUAUAACUUUACUUAUUCUUCAAAGGAAAAUAUUUGACGAAUGUAUUACGAUAACAAGUACUCCCUC